This is a non-coding RNA of Triticum aestivum (bread wheat), 125 nucleotides long. The record is from Rfam. NCBI's taxonomy places the organism in Eukaryota, Viridiplantae, Streptophyta, Magnoliopsida, Poales, Poaceae.
UAAUUACUCCCUUCAUCCGGAAAUACUUAUCCAAAGAAUAAAUGUAUCUAGAUGUAUAUUAGUUUUAGAUACACUCAUUUGUAUCCAUUCCUAUGACAAGUAUUUCUGAACAUAGGGAGUAUUUU